This 406-nucleotide ribosomal RNA is filed under the name uncultured bacterium. Its description in RNAcentral is "partial 16S ribosomal RNA". It matches the Rfam family "Bacterial small subunit ribosomal RNA", at positions 29 to 526 of the family's 1533-position model. The record is from RNAcentral.
AUUGAACGCUGGCGGCAGGCCUAACACAUGCAAGUCGAGCGAGCGGCGGACGGGUGAGUAAUGUCUGGGAAACUGCCUGAUGGAGGGGGAUAACUACUGGAAACGGUAGCUAAUACCGCAUACCAUCAGAUGUGCCCAGAUGGGAUAAGCUAGUAGGUGGGGUAACGGCUCACCUAGGCGACGAUCCCUAGCUGGUCUGAGAGGAUGACCAGCCACACUGGAACGUAGCCACGGUCAAGACUCCUACGGUAGGCAGGCGAGGGGAAUAGUGCACAAUGGGAGCAAGACGGAUGCAGCCAUGCCGCGUGUGUGAAGAAGGCCUUCGGUUUGUAAAGCACUUUCAGCGGGGAGGCGUUACCCGCAGAAGAAGCACCGGCUAACUCCGUGCCAGCAGCCGCGGUAAUAC